This 420-nucleotide ribosomal RNA is filed under the name uncultured fungus. RNAcentral's name for it is "partial small subunit ribosomal RNA". It matches the Rfam family "Eukaryotic small subunit ribosomal RNA", at positions 30 to 432 of the family's 1831-position model. The record is from RNAcentral. Lineage: Eukaryota; Fungi.
GCUUGUCUCAAAGAUUAAGCCAUGCAUGUCUUAGUGUAAAUAACUCUUAUGAAACUGCGAAUGGCUCAUUAAAUCAGUUAUCAAAUACGUGAUGGUCGCCUACUACAUGGAUAACCGUAGUAAUUCUAGAGCUAAUACAUGCGUCAAAUCCCCGACUUCUCGGAAGGGGUGCAUUUAUUAGAUACCAAAUCAACCCUGCUUCUGGGUCGGUUCACCCGUCCCAGACAGGAGUGUUGAUGAUUCAUAAUAAAUGGAGCGUAUCGGAUCUCGUGAUCCGAUGGUCCUUUCAUGCGUCUGACCUAUCAGCUCUGGAUGGUAGGGUAAAGGCCUACCAUGGCUAUGACGGGUAACGGAAUAUCAGGGUAUGGUUCCGGAGAGGGAGCCUGAGAAACGGCUACCACAUCUAAGGAAGGCAGCAGG